UUGAAAUAAACCUGAUGGGUUGCUGCUGGUUCAUUAAUGAACAUGUGCACACUCGUCAUCUUUAUAUUUCCACCUGUGCACUUUUUGUAGACCUGGACAAGUUUCUUAAUGCUAGCAUUAAGGUUUUAGGAUUGAUUCUGUCUCUCCUUAUAUUUCUGGGUCUAUGUUUAUUCAUAUACUCUAAUGUAUGUUAUAGAAUGUAAUAAUUGGGUCUUUGUGCCUAUAACAAAAUA
This 233-nucleotide unclassified non-coding RNA is filed under the name uncultured Cortinarius. RNAcentral describes it as "sequence contains ITS1". The record is from RNAcentral. Lineage: Eukaryota; Fungi; Basidiomycota; Agaricomycetes; Agaricales; Cortinariaceae.